AUUGAACGCUGGCGGAAUGCUUUACACAUGCAAGUCGAACGGCAGCACGGGAGCUUGCUCCUGGUGGCGAGUGGCGAACGGGUGAGUAAUAUAUCGGAACGUAUCCAAUAAUGGGGGAUAACUAGUCGAAAGAUUAGCUAAUCCCGCAUACGCCCUGAGGGGGAAAGCUGGGGAUCUUCGGACCUAGCGUUAAUGGAGCGGCCGAUAUCUGAUUAGCUAGUAGGUGAGGUAAAAGCUCACCUAGGCGACGAUCAGUAGCUGGUCUGAGAGGACGACCAGCCACACUGGAACUGAGACACGGUCCAGACUCCUACGGGAGGCAGCAGUGGGGAAUUUUGGACAAUGGGCGCAAGCCUGAUCCAGCCAUUCCGCGUGAGUGAAGAAGGCCUUCGGGUUGUAAUGCUCUUUCGCAAGGGAAGAAAACUUAACCUCUAACAUAGAUUGAGGCUGACGGUACCUUGAUAAGAAGCACCGGCUAACUACGUGCCAGCAGCCGCAGUAA
RNAcentral lists this ribosomal RNA (502 nucleotides) under uncultured bacterium. RNAcentral describes it as "partial 16S ribosomal RNA". It matches the Rfam family "Bacterial small subunit ribosomal RNA", at positions 30 to 523 of the family's 1533-position model. The record is from RNAcentral.